CCGGCGAUGUCCGAAUGGGGAAACCCAGUGCAAUUCGUUGCACUAUCGUUAACUGAAUACAUAGGUUAACGAGGCGAACCGGGGGAACUGAAACAUCUAAGUACCCCGAGGAAAAGAAAUCAACCGAGAUUCCCCCAGUAGCGGCGAGCGAACGGGGAGCAGCCCAGAGUCUGAAUCAGCUUGUGUGUUAGUGGAACGGUCUGGAAAGUCCGACGGUACAGGGUGAUAGUCCCGUACACCAAAAUGCACAGGUUGUGAACUCGAAGAGUAGGGCGGGACACGUGGUAUCCUGUCUGAAUAUGGGGGGACCAUCCUCCAAGGCUAAAUACUCCUGACUGACCGAUAGUGAACCAGUACCGUGAGGGAAAGGCGAAAAGAACCCCGGCGAGGGGAGUGAAAAAGAACCUGAAACCGUGUACGUACAAGCAGUGGGAGCACCUUCGGGUGUGACUGCGUACCUUUUGUAUAAUGGGUCAGCGACUUAUAUUCUGUAGCAAGGUUAACCGUAUAGGGGAGCCGCAGGGAAACCGAGUCUUAACUGGGCGUUAAGUUGCAGGGUAUAGACCCGAAACCCGGUGAUCUAGCCAUGGGCAGGUUGAAGGUUGGGUAACACUAACUGGAGGACCGAACCGACUAAUGUUGAAAAAUUAGCGGAUGACUUGUGGCUGGGGGUGAAAGGCCAAUCAAACCGGGAGAUAGCUGGUUCUCCCCGAAAGCUAUUUAGGUAGCGCCUCGUGAACUCAUCUUCGGGGGUAGAGCACUGUUUCGGCUAGGGGGUCAUCCCGACUUACCAACCCGAUGCAAACUACGAAUACCGAAGAAUGUUAUCACGGGAGACACACGGCGGGUGCUAACGUCCGUCGUGAAGAGGGAAACAACCCAGACCGCCAGCUAAGGUCCCAAAGUCAUGGUUAAGUGGGAAACGAUGUGGGAAGGCACAGACAGCCAGGAUGUUGGCUUAGAAGCAGCCAUCAUUUAAAGAAAGCGUAAUAGCUCACUGGUCGAGUCGGCCUGCGCGGAAGAUGUAACGGGGCUAAACCAUGCACCGAAGCUGCGGCAGCGACACUAUGUGUUGUUGGGUAGGGGAGCGUUCUGUAAGCCUGCGAAGGUGUGCUGUGAGGCAUGCUGGAGGUAUCAGAAGUGCGAAUGCUGACAUAAGUAACGAUAAAGCGGGUGAAAAGCCCGCUCGCCGGAAGACCAAGGGUUCCUGUCCAACGUUAAUCGGGGCAGGGUGAGUCGACCCCUAAGGCGAGGCCGAAAGGCGUAGUCGAUGGGAAACAGGUUAAUAUUCCUGUACUUGGUGUUACUGCGAAGGGGGGACGGAGAAGGCUAUGUUAGCCGGGCGACGGUUGUCCCGGUUUAAGCAUGUAGGCUGAUUGUCCAGGCAAAUCCGGAUAAUCAAGGCUGAGGUGUGAUGACGAGGCACUACGGUGCUGAAGUAACAAAUGCCCUGCUUCCAGGAAAAGCCUCUAAGCAUCAGGUAACAUCAAAUCGUACCCCAAACCGACACAGGUGGUCAGGUAGAGAAUACCAAGGCGCUUGAGAGAACUCGGGUGAAGGAACUAGGCAAAAUGGUGCCGUAACUUCGGGAGAAGGCACGCUGGUGUGUAGGUGAAGUCCCUGCGGAUGGAGCUGAGACCAGUCGAAGAUACCAGCUGGCUGCAACUGUUUAUUAAAAACACAGCACUGUGCAAACACGAAAGUGGACGUAUACGGUGUGACGCCUGCCCGGUGCCGGAAGGUUAAUUGAUGGGGUUAUCCGUAAGGAGAAGCUCUUGAUCGAAGCCCCGGUAAACGGCGGCCGUAACUAUAACGGUCCUAAGGUAGCGAAAUUCCUUGUCGGGUAAGUUCCGACCUGCACGAAUGGCGUAAUGAUGGCCAGGCUGUCUCCACCCGAGACUCAGUGAAAUUGAACUCGCUGUGAAGAUGCAGUGUACCCGCGGCAAGACGGAAAGACCCCGUGAACCUUUACUAUAGCUUGACACUGAACAUUGAGCCUUGAUGUGUAGGAUAGGUGGGAGGCUUUGAAGCGUGGACGCCAGUCUGCGUGGAGCCAACCUUGAAAUACCACCCUUUAAUGUUUGAUGUUCUAACGUUGGCCCCUUACCGGGGUUGCGGACAGUGUCUGGUGGGUAGUUUGACUGGGGCGGUCUCCUCCCAAAGCGUAACGGAGGAGCACGAAGGUUAGCUAAUCCUGGUCGGACAUCAGGAGGUUAGUGCAAUGGCAUAAGCUAGCUUGACUGCGAGCGUGACGGCGCGAGCAGGUGCGAAAGCAGGUCAUAGUGAUCCGGUGGUUCUGAAUGGAAGGGCCAUCGCUCAACGGAUAAAAGGUACUCCGGGGAUAACAGGCUGAUACCGCCCAAGAGUUCAUAUCGACGGCGGUGUUUGGCACCUCGAUGUCGGCUCAUCACAUCCUGGGGCUGAAGUAGGUCCCAAGGGUAUGGCUGUUCGCCAUUUAAAGUGGUACGCGAGCUGGGUUUAGAACGUCGUGAGACAGUUCGGUCCCUAUCUGCCGUGGGCGCUGGAGAAUUGAGGGGGGCUGCUCCUAGUACGAGAGGACCGGAGUGGACGCAUCACUGGUGUUCGGGUUGUCAUGCCAAUGGCACUGCCCGGUAGCUAAAUGCGGAAGAGAUAAGUGCUGAAAGCAUCUAAGCACGAAACUUGCCCCGAGAUGAGUUCUCCCUGAGACUUUAAGUCUCCUGAAGGAACGUUGAAGACGACGACGUUGAUAGGCCGGGUGUGUAAGCGCAGCGAUGCGUUGAGCUAACCGGUACUAAUGAACCGUGAGGCUUAACCUU
RNAcentral lists this ribosomal RNA (2798 nucleotides) under Klebsiella pneumoniae. RNAcentral describes it as "partial 23S ribosomal RNA". It matches the Rfam family "Bacterial large subunit ribosomal RNA". Lineage: Bacteria; Pseudomonadati; Pseudomonadota; Gammaproteobacteria; Enterobacterales; Enterobacteriaceae. The record is from RNAcentral.